CCAACCUUCCGUACACUCAGGGAUAGCCUUUCGAAAGAAAGAUUAAUACCUGAUGGUAUGAUGGGAUUGCAUGAUAGCAUCAUUAAAGAUUCAUCGGUGUACGAUGGGGAUGCGUUCCAUUAGAUAGUAGGCGGGGUAACGGCCCACCUAGUCGACGAUGGAUAGGGGUUCUGAGAGGAAGGUCC
This 185-nucleotide ribosomal RNA is filed under the name uncultured Bacteroidota bacterium. Its description in RNAcentral is "uncultured Bacteroidetes bacterium partial 16S ribosomal RNA". It matches the Rfam family "Bacterial small subunit ribosomal RNA", at positions 121 to 306 of the family's 1533-position model. Lineage: Bacteria; Pseudomonadati; Bacteroidota. The record is from RNAcentral.